This 622-nucleotide ribosomal RNA is filed under the name uncultured Gammaproteobacteria bacterium. RNAcentral's name for it is "bacterial SSU rRNA". It matches the Rfam family "Bacterial small subunit ribosomal RNA", at positions 35 to 628 of the family's 1533-position model. Lineage: Bacteria; Pseudomonadati; Pseudomonadota; Gammaproteobacteria. The record is from RNAcentral.
GCUGGCGGCAGGCCUAACACAUGCAAGUCGAACGGUAACAGGCUGUAUGGGAUCCCUUCGGGGUGAACUUGGCGCUGACGAGUGGCGAACGGGUGAGUAACGCGUAGGAAUCUACCCAGGAGUGGGGGACAACCCGGAGAAAUCCGGGCUAAUACCGCAUAUGCCCUACGGGGUAAAGUGGGGGACCUCUUCGGAGGCCUCACGCUUCUGGAUGAGCCUGCGUCGGAUUAGCUUGUUGGUGGGGUAACGGCUCACCAAGGCGACGAUCCGUAGCUGGUCUGAGAGGAUGACCAGUCACACUGGGACUGAGACACGGCCCAGACUCCUACGGGAGGCAGCAGUGGGGAAUAUUGGACAAUGGGGGAAACCCUGAUCCAGCCAUGCCGCGUGUGUGAAGAAGGCCCUAGGGUUGUAAAGCACUUUCAGUGGGGAAGAAAAGCCUAAAGCUAAUACCUUUGGGUCCUGACGGUACCUACAGAAGAAGCACCGGCUAAUUCCGUGCCAGCAGCCGCGGUAAUACGGAAGGUGCAAGCGUUAAUCGGAAUUACUGGGCGUAAAGCGCGCGUAGGCGGCUAGAUAAGUCGGGUGUGAAAGCCCCGGGCUCAACCUGGGAACUGCAUCC